UGCACGAAGAAUGACCACAUGACUGGCAGUUUGUAUUAAUAUUUCCAUCAGUCUUAUUUGUGCUGCCAUGGACGAUACUGACUUAUGGCUUGGUUCUUCUGAAUCACAGAACUCUGGCGCUUGUACUAAUAAUGCGUCAUUAGAAGAUUUACACAUUUUAAUGAAAUGUUACCAGAACUGUUAUAAUUUAUAAGAAACUACAUGAAGUAUUUAAAGAGAUAAAGCGUGAAGCAAAAGGAAGUGAUGUAAAGAAGCAGAUCAAUUCACUAAGGUUGAAUCACAGGAGGGAAUUAAAUAAAAUGAAAUGUUCUAAAUGUGAUAGAAAGACAAUUCUCAAUGAACAUAAUUUAUAGGAACGUAAACAGUAGUCUCAACUGUUACAAAUCAGUGUAUUGUCAAAAACUUUAACAAUGGAAUAAAACAGGAUUAACUAACUAACUCAUUAAUACAAUAAUUGUUAAAAGGUGUGACAUUUAUUUACUUAGCAAGGUAAAUUAAUCAUCUAUUACCUCUACAAUAAUUGUUUCUAUAUCAUUCUCUGCAUUCAUCCAUUCACACAUCUCAACAUCAUCUACACAAAGCUGCUGGCCUUCUCUAAUAUUGCCUUGUGUUUCAUUCAUACUGGUUUCAGGAUCCAUACUUACAUUUAAUGUUCUGUUGGCUAAUACAUCAUCCUGCAUAAUAUCACUUAUACUGUCUGAUUCAUCUGAACUUAAAUCAGAUUCACUAUCAGAUUCUCCAAGUGAUAUUAUGACAGGAGGAAUAUCUUUAACACUGGUAUUACCCAUCAUUCUUUGCCAAUCAUCCUUGAUAAUAUUUUCACAGUGGAUUACACUUGAUGUCCACAUCUCUGGUGUAUAUUUAGACAUAGCUUCAAUCCACAAGUGCUUGAUUUCCGAUUUUUUGGAAGACUGCUUCAAGAUGUGUUUGUUAUAAUAUGGUUUACAGAAUCGCCAUACUAUUUCUAUAGCAUUAUAGUGGCAGUGAUAUGGAGGUAAACGUAAAACUUCAAUAUUACUCUUUGACAACAAUUCAUCAAUCUCAUAUUUACGAGUUGAUGGUAAAAGAGGUUUGAUAAUAUCCCAAAGCUGUUUUUUUGUCAAAUUAUCGCCAAAAGGAAUUUUUUUUUGUGCAAGCCAAAAUUUUAAUUUUGAUUUAAUCCAAGACAAACGAGGCAAUUGUUCUGCUAACACCGAAUGAUAAGGUGCAUUGUCCAUGAUGAUAACAACCUUACCGUUAAUAAAAUUAACAGAUGGAAUUAACUGUGUUUCCACCCAUUGCCUGAACAAUUGCCCGUUCAUAGUCUUAUGAUAGUCCCUGCUAUCAUUAUUGCUAUCUAAAAAUAGCAAGCAGUUUUCCAAAAAACCAAAUUUACCCCCUGCAUGAAGUAUGGUAAACCUUCGACCCUCAUUCAUUACUAUUUUCGCAGGCAUGCCUCUCCGAUCACUCUCAUGCACCCAUCUUCUUACUGGUACACCAUGCUGAUACACCCACGUCUCGUCUAAAUAAACAAAUGUCACAUCUUCUUCCAUUAACUGUAUGUAACGCCUUAAAAAUUUAAUUUUUAAUCCCUGUAAGCGGGGCGACUCAAUUAUAAUUUUCCUGUUUUCAACUUUUUUAAAAUUGUAACCCAUGGAUUUAAUAACCCUUCGUAGAGUCCGGAUACUUGCGUUGUAAUUAAGAUUUUCUGUGGCAAAAUUAAAUAAAUCCUGAAUUGUAAAAAACUCA
This is a long non-coding RNA of Zophobas morio, 1728 nucleotides long. RefSeq lists it as uncharacterized. The transcript has 2 exons. NCBI's taxonomy places the organism in Eukaryota, Metazoa, Arthropoda, Insecta, Coleoptera, Tenebrionidae. The record is from RefSeq and is a predicted model, not a curated record.